RNAcentral lists this ribosomal RNA (112 nucleotides) under Caerostris darwini. Lineage: Eukaryota; Metazoa; Arthropoda; Arachnida; Araneae; Araneidae. The record is from RNAcentral.
AACGGCCAUACCAUGCUGAAUAUACCGGUUCUCGUUAGAUCACCGAAGUCAAGCAUCAUUGGGCGCGGUCAGUACUUGGGUGGGUGACCACUUGGGAAUACCGCGUGCCGUU